Molecule: long non-coding RNA, 1456 nt
Organism: Drosophila gunungcola (fruit fly)
Lineage: Eukaryota; Metazoa; Arthropoda; Insecta; Diptera; Drosophilidae
Exons: 3
Source: RefSeq, a predicted model, not a curated record
UCGAUAAAUUGUUAGCUGAUAGCAAAAGGCUAACCUCCAACACUGGCAAGCGUUGAAAUUCCAAAAACAAAAUUAAGUUUGUGAACAAAAGCAUUUAACUUUAAUAUGAGUUUACGGCCAUUUCAACUAGAAAACAACAGAAGAGAGAUGCUUUUCGUGGAGCAACCAGAGAUCAAAGGGGUGGCUCCCAAAUCUUCAAGUGCAUUAAUAAUUCCAGGAACUCAACAAUUCCAGGAACUCAACAACUGAAUUUAUAAAAUCGCACUUAUACUUUUCUAGACCCCAGAAUGUGACUUGUUACCUAAUGAAGGAGCCAAAAUCACUUCGCAUCGUUGAAGUCUUGAAAUAGUUAUUAAAAUGUUGAAAAAAAAUUAAUUCGCAAAAUGAAUUUUUCACUUGAUGGGACAACUUACUUUUCUGCAUCUUUAAUGGUCAGCUGCCAAAGUAAAAGCCUGGGAUUUUAGACUUACAAUAUUCCAUUCUGCCCAAGUCAAUUUGCAAUUAGAUCUUAUCCGGAGGCAGACGGACACUCAGGAUACGGGGAUUUAAGCCAGGUCCCGCAUAAAAAACUAAACACGCAGCAAUCAAUCGAUUAAAAAAGGGCAAAGGGCAAAAACUUUUGAGUCUGGAAAGGCGUUGUGAAAAAUAAAAAGGGGGAGGAGCUGGAGCAGGAGCAGGCGGAGGAUGAAAAGGAUGAUGGCCCACCUAUGGUGUCCAGGUUGAGGUCCUGCUGGAAGAACGCCCCAGGGACCCGCAGCCAACUGAAGGAAGUCGCCUCGCUGGCUUUUGUCUAAUGCGCCGCUUAUCUCGAUAUUAUUUGGCCAUAAAAAAAGGACACAGACACAUGUCAUUUGUUAUGUGGCCAGUUUAACUGAGGGAGUGGACAACACUCGGCGGAAAACCGUUGAACUUCUAAAUGAGUGUAAAAAGAGCAUGCAAAAUAUAGCAACACCGCAAGAAAGCCGACACCAUGAUGCCCUGCUCCCAAAAUCUUAAGGAUUCAGCACCCGUCCUUCGGCUGAAACCGAAUCCUUCGGCCAAAUCAAAACCAAUUCCACUCCGAAGGGCAAGGAAAAUUGCAACAUUUCACAUGUCACAACGAGGGCAAUUUCCCAACCCACAAGAAAUUGGACCAUGUCGAAUCCUGCGGGUUCCGUUGAUUUCCACCUCCACCCCCAAAAAUAAUCCAGUGUGCCAGCCACGCGCGUUUCAAAUCCCUUUAGUUACACUGUUUCGAAUUAAAUAUUUACAUUUUGGAUGCGGAUGCGGAUGCGGCGGGCAUGAGGCCUAAAUUUCGAUUCACAUGUGGGUGUUUUUUUUUGUUUUUUUUUUCGCUGGGAUGGUGGCAUCUGGAUACUAGAUAGUGGCCAUCUAAUCGGUGGUGGACACUUGUCGAUAGCAGGAGCGGUGUUUUCCCAAGGUUAAGGGGGAUUUAUAUUGUUCAGAUAUGUCCGUU